UCUAGAAUAUAUGAUACUUUUAGUAUUUUGUCCCCUUUUAUUCAUGGUUACCCUAUUCUCAUGGAUAAUCUUUACUACAAAAGGUACACUACAGGCAAUUGUGGGUGAAUUCAAUGGAAAGUAGUGGCUCUCCUGCACCAUUACGUGACAAGACCAACAGUACUAAUGGAGGAAGCGAUGCUAGAGAACGUAAGAGACAAAGAGAAAAAUCACGUUGGCUCACAAUGUCUCAAGAGAAAAGGGACGAAAGAAACAGAAAACAUCGAGAAGCGUAUAAAAGAAAAAAGGGGCAACAUGUACAUAUUGAAACUACCAAUGGUAGUAUAGUAGAGACAUUGUUGAGUAAUAAUAUGGAUAUUACUAUACUUUUGAUAUUUCUUAUAUGCUAUGUAUCACAAUUGGUCAUGACGCACCAGACAAGGAAAAUCUGGAUCCUAAUGAAACAGAUGAUUGGUUGCAUAGGAAUGACUCAUUCCAUGGAAACAAUCUAGAUGAUAUAUGCAAUUCAUUAUCAGGUAAUUCACCUGUUAUUAAUAUGGCAACAAUGCAUAUAUUAAUC
Long non-coding RNA from Sorghum bicolor (sorghum), 559 nucleotides. RefSeq lists it as uncharacterized. The transcript has 2 exons. The record is from RefSeq and is a predicted model, not a curated record. NCBI's taxonomy places the organism in Eukaryota, Viridiplantae, Streptophyta, Magnoliopsida, Poales, Poaceae.